AUAGAGGCUGUGGUGAGCUGUGCGCUGUGGAAGGCACGAAGGCUGGGUGACGGGAAGCGGUGUGGCCCCUGUGGGCACGGAGGUCCAGAGCCUCUGGGCGCUGAGAAGCUCCUAGAAUCAAACAGACCCAGUAAUCAAUCCCAGCUGCCGUGCGAGGUCCUGCCUCUUUUGUCACAUGUGAUGCCAACAGCAGGGAAGAAGUUUUUCAAGUGCAAAGGUGAUGAAUGUGUGAGAUUUUCCAACCCACGGGAGUUACCAGAAUGGAUUCCCUUCAGGUUCUGCCGGGGGUGGGGAGUCGGAGCAAGUGAGACAUAUUUCUACCGCUUCAAGCCUGCACGGUGCCUACAACAACGUUGCCGUUGUGGUGACGACUUAACCCUACUCGAGCGCUGAGAACCCUGGGAUCCGGGCAAGUUGGCAAAGCAGACGCAGGAGGACCUCCUGCUCCCUGCUUCAGGCUCCUGGUUUCCUGCACUUCAUCCUCCCUCAAUGGCAAGGGAUGGAGAGAGCUCGCAGGCUCCAGCCCAGCGGAACGAAUGGCUGGCCUUGGGAAAAGCCUCCCUUUCACAGACACUUGGAGCUAGCUUGCACUCACGGCCACAGGGUUCCAGCCAAAGGAAGCAGAAAACUUUGCGGGCUUUCUGUGUCACCUCUGGAUGGAACAGAAGAGCCUAAGACAUUGAUCUGCUGUUUGGAUCUGGGGCACCCAGUGGCCAGCACUAAGUCAGG
Molecule: long non-coding RNA, 729 nt
Organism: Felis catus (domestic cat)
Lineage: Eukaryota; Metazoa; Chordata; Mammalia; Carnivora; Felidae
Exons: 3
Source: RefSeq, a predicted model, not a curated record